AGUGAACGCUGGCGGUAGGCCUAACACAUGCAAGUCGAACGGCAGCACAGGAGAGCUUGCUCUCUGGGUGGCGAGUGGCGGACGGGUGAGGAAUACAUCGGAAUCUACUCUGUCGUGGGGGAUAACGUAGGGAAACUUACGCUAAUACCGCAUACGACCUACGGGUGAAAGCAGGGGACCUUCGGGCCUUGCGCGAUUGAAUGAGCCGAUGGAGGAUUAGCUAGUUGGGGGGGUAAAGGCCCACCAAGGCGACGAUCCGUAGCUGGUCUGAGGGAGUGAUAAGCCACAUUGGAACGAGGAGACGGGCCAGACUCCUACGGGAGGCAGCAGUGGGGAAUAUUGGACAAUGGGCGCAAGCCUGAUCCAGCCAUACCGCGUGGGUGAAGAAGGCCUUCGGGUUGUAAAGCCCUUUUGUUGGGAAAGAAAUCCAGCUGGCUAAUACCCGGUUGGGAUGACGGUACCCAAAGAAUAAGCACCGGCUAACUUCGUGCCAGCCGCCGCCGUAA
This 506-nucleotide ribosomal RNA is filed under the name uncultured bacterium. RNAcentral's name for it is "partial 16S ribosomal RNA". It matches the Rfam family "Bacterial small subunit ribosomal RNA", at positions 29 to 523 of the family's 1533-position model. The record is from RNAcentral.